CCUACGGGUGGCAGCAGUGAGGAAUAUUGGUCAAUGGACGAGAGUCUGAACCAGCCAAGUAGCGUGAAGGAUGACUGCCCUAUGGGUUGUAAACUUCUUUUAUAUGGGAAUAAAAUGUUCCACGUGUGGGAUUUUGUAUGUACCAUAUGAAUAAGGAUCGGCUAACUCCGUGCCAGCAGCCGCGGUAAUACGGAGGAUCCGAUCGUUAUCCGGAUUUAUUGGGUUUAAAGGGAGCGUAGGUGGAUUGUUAAGUCAGUUGUGAAAGUUUGCGGCUCAACCGUAAAAUUGCAGUUGAGAGUGGCAGUCUUGAGUACAGUAGAGGUGGGCGGAAGUCGUGGUGUAGCGGUGAAAUGCUUAGAUAUCACGAAGAACUCCGAUUGCGAAGGCAGUUCACUGGACUGCAACUGACACUGAGGCUCGAAAGUGUGGGUAUCAAACAGGAUUAGAUACCCGUGUAGUC
This 460-nucleotide ribosomal RNA is filed under the name uncultured bacterium. RNAcentral describes it as "partial 16S ribosomal RNA". It matches the Rfam family "Bacterial small subunit ribosomal RNA", at positions 338 to 795 of the family's 1533-position model. The record is from RNAcentral.